This 253-nucleotide ribosomal RNA is filed under the name uncultured bacterium. RNAcentral describes it as "partial 16S ribosomal RNA". It matches the Rfam family "Bacterial small subunit ribosomal RNA", at positions 524 to 776 of the family's 1533-position model. The record is from RNAcentral.
UACGGAGGGGGCUAGCGUUGUUCGGAAUUACUGGGCGUAAAGGGCGCGUAGGCGGCCAUUCAAGUCGGGGGUGAAAGCCUGUGGCUCAACCACAGAAUUGCCUUCGAUACUGUUUGGCUUGAGACCGGAAGAGGUAAGUGGAACUGCGAGUGUAGAGGUGAAAUUCGUAGAUAUUCGCAAGAACACCAGUGGCGAAGGCGGCUUACUGGUCCGGUUCUGACGCUGAGGCGCGAAAGCGUGGGGAGCAAACAGG